GAUUCGUACUCGCUCGACUAAAAGUUCGAUUCGAUCUCGAUUCGAAAUAUAAAUGAGUCAAAUAUGAGCAAAUUUUAAAGUUCGAUAAAUUACUCGAACCAUCUCAAAUUGCAAUUUUCUAUUGAUACUCGAAUCAUAUUCGUUUAAAAAGUUCAAACUUUUGAGCUCGAUUCGAGAUCAAGCUCGGCUCGAUAGCUAAAUGAGCUUUAAUCAAAU
This 216-nucleotide long non-coding RNA is filed under the name Panax ginseng (ginseng). RNAcentral's name for it is "long non-coding RNA (PGIN_LNC002084)". The record is from RNAcentral. Lineage: Eukaryota; Viridiplantae; Streptophyta; Magnoliopsida; Apiales; Araliaceae.